RNAcentral lists this long non-coding RNA (1125 nucleotides) under Durio zibethinus. RNAcentral's name for it is "long non-coding RNA (DZIB_LNC000060)". The record is from RNAcentral. Lineage: Eukaryota; Viridiplantae; Streptophyta; Magnoliopsida; Malvales; Malvaceae.
CUUAAUAUACUAUUUUUAUUGUUAAAUUUAAUAGCGUGUUACAAUAAUAAAUACGAUUUCUCUAGAAAUCCAGCACCAGAGUCAAGUCCGCUCCCAUCGGGCUCAUUAUUGUUAGCAGACUGGAUCACUAGGCUUUUUUUGGGCCUAGACAAUCUAAUUCAAAUAAAAAACAAUGUACGUAAACCUAGUACUAUAAUAUUUCACCAUAUACCACCACUUUUGGAAAGUAUGCGAGUGACCGAGAGAACCGGCGGCGAUUCGCAAGCUUGGUCGGCCGGCGAUAAGGAAAUCGGGUUCGGUCCUAGAUCCGAACCCUACAAAACAGGAAUUCUCCAGACAGAGAUAUUCCUGUGGCGUGCACUUAGCUCUUUAACUGGUGAUUGCUUAAACUCCAAUUAGAUCAAAUGAAUAAAAAAUUAGAAAAAAAAAAAUCAGCACAUAACAUCGAUCCGUUUGGUAGCCGAGAAAAUGCAAGAAAAGAAAAUAAAUAAAUUAACAAAGAAAUAUCAUCGAUGUUUCUAGGUGAAAAUAUCUAGUUUAGUCGGCCAAAUUCAACUACAAAACUUAUUUAUAUAUCCUAUUUCAGAUACAUAAAAACGUAAACAGUUUCAAUAUAGUAUUAACAGUUUCUUGCUAUUGUGAUCUUUUUGACCUAAUCGAUAAACAAAAGUUGUAAUAUUAAUUCGUUUCUUUCAUCAAUCAUGGAGAAAACACUAAAAAUCAAAAUAUUCAAAUCUUAUAGAGAGAAUAAGAGGAUAUAAGAGUAUAAAAAUAAAUUUUCGUACCUGAAAUAAAGCGAGAAUUUUCUCACCAACCAAACAAGUAGCAAAAAACCUGGCUCAUGCGAUCAGACACCGUUGAAUCAAAGGUUUCAACACCGUAAACAGAGUGAAAGUAGGCACGUUGAGUGAGAGAGAGGGAGAAAGAGAGCGGAGUUUAGGUUUUGUUGCUUCUAGAAGGUUCUGGGUGGAGUAAAUCGUACGGGACGAAAGAGAAAUCGCGAGGGUGAGAAGGAAAGAGAUAUAAAAUAUUAAAUUUAAAAAAAAAUAGAGAAAAUGGCGAAGUACGUGGAAUGCACGCGCACAUACGUAAACAAAAGAAAAUGAUAAAAUUGAUAAAGGUAUU